This 404-nucleotide ribosomal RNA is filed under the name uncultured bacterium. RNAcentral describes it as "bacterial SSU rRNA". It matches the Rfam family "Bacterial small subunit ribosomal RNA", at positions 355 to 776 of the family's 1533-position model. The record is from RNAcentral.
UGGGGAAUAUUGCACAAUGGGGGAAACCCUGAUGCAGCGACGCCGCGUGAGUGAAGAAGUAUUUCGGUACGUAAAGCUCUAUCAGCAGGGAAGAAAAUGACGGUACCUGACUAAGAAGCCCCGGCUAACUACGUGCCAGCAGCCGCGGUAAUACGUAGGGGGCAAGCGUUAUCCGGAUUUACUGGGUGUAAAGGGAGCGUAGACGGCAGCGCAAGUCUGGAGUGAAAUCCCAUGGCUUAACCAUGGAACUGCUUUGGAAACUGUGCAGCUAGAGUGCAGGAGAGGUAAGCGGAAUUCCUAGUGUAGCGGUGAAAUGCGUAGAUAUUAGGAGGAACACCAGUGGCGAAGGCGGCUUACUGGACUGUAACUGACGUUGAGGCUCGAAAGCGUGGGGAGCAAACAGG